CAGUAGCCGCGGUAAUGCGUAGGGUGCGAGCGUUAAUCGGAAUUACUGGGCGUAAAGCGUGCGCAGGCGGUUUUGUAAGACAGGCGUGAAAUCCCCGGGCUCAACCUGGGAAUGGCGCUUGUGACUGCAAAGCUAGAGUGCGGCAGAGGGGGAUGGAAUUCCGCGUGUAGCAGUGAAAUGCGUAGAUAUGCGGAGGAACACCGAUGGCGAAGGCAAUCCCCUGGGCCUGCACUGACGCUCAUGCACGAAAGCGUGGGGAGCAAACAGGAUUAGAUACCCGGGUAGUCCCUGUCUCUUAUAC
RNAcentral lists this ribosomal RNA (301 nucleotides) under uncultured bacterium. RNAcentral describes it as "partial 16S ribosomal RNA". It matches the Rfam family "Bacterial small subunit ribosomal RNA", at positions 509 to 807 of the family's 1533-position model. The record is from RNAcentral.